AUUCCGCGAAUCAUCGAGUCUUUGAACGCAAGUUGCGCCCGAGGCUUGUCCGAGGGCAUUUCCGCUAGACGUCACC
RNAcentral lists this ribosomal RNA (76 nucleotides) under Mielichhoferia elongata. RNAcentral describes it as "partial 5.8S ribosomal RNA". Lineage: Eukaryota; Viridiplantae; Streptophyta; Bryopsida; Bryales; Mniaceae. The record is from RNAcentral.